RNAcentral lists this long non-coding RNA (552 nucleotides) under Homo sapiens (human). RNAcentral's name for it is "HSALNT0240598". The record is from RNAcentral. Lineage: Eukaryota; Metazoa; Chordata; Mammalia; Primates; Hominidae.
UCUUGGGAGGCAGGGCUCACAGCAGGGCUGAGUGAAGGUGGUGAGGUUGAGGGUCUCCAGGCCUGGAGUUGGCUGGCAGGAGUUGAGCAGGAAGCAGGUGCUGGGCAGGCAGACUCCACAGCGGCAGGAUUUGUCGGAGGAGCAGAUGGUGGUGGCAGGCCCAGUGGGGACACUGCAGCUGCGAGAGGCACAGCAAUCCAUGGCAAUGGGCGUCUGGUUAGCUUUCAGUUUCUUAGAUGAGGAUUCUGAGGUUUCUGGCAUGCCAAACCUUAUAUGACUUUUAUGGGUAAUCAAUCCAAGUGACAAUUCAGCUGUAAUUUUGGAGGCCAAACUCUUCUUGUUUUUCCCUCUUAAUUUAAAAUACUAUGGAUAAUGUGAUUUCUAAUGACUAAUUUCAGAAUGAGUAACUCAAAUGAUGAACUGGACCAUUUUCAACUCAAUAAAGUCAACAAGAAUAUGGCUAUUUACAGAUGAAUGUUUCAUGUGACUACAGGCAUCUCGGACAUGUUUGCAUUAUUUAGUGAUAUUAUAAUUCAGGUUCUAUUGAGCAAG